This 464-nucleotide ribosomal RNA is filed under the name Planopleura kaempferi. Its description in RNAcentral is "partial 16S large subunit ribosomal RNA". The stretch from base 338 to 464 matches the Rfam family "Bacterial large subunit ribosomal RNA", at positions 2473 to 2600 of the family's 2925-position model. The record is from RNAcentral. Lineage: Eukaryota; Metazoa; Arthropoda; Insecta; Hemiptera; Cicadidae.
AAUGGCCGCGGUAACUUGACUGUGCAAAGGUAGCAUAAUUAUUAGUCUUUUAAUUGAAGGCUUGAAUGAACGAUUGAAUGAAAAAUAAACUUUAUUAAUAAAAUUAAUUUAAUUUAGUAUUUAAGUAAAAAUUCUUAAAUAAUUAAGUGGGACGAGAAGACCCUAUAGAAUUUAAAUAUUUUUUAUUAUUGUAAAAUUGAAGAAUUAUUAUUUUAAAAUAAAAAAAAUUUUUUUGUUGGGGUGACAUUAAAAAUUAGUUAACUUUUAAUUAAUAUAACAUUAAUAUAUGUUUUUUGAUCCAAUUUUUUUUUUGAUUAUAAGAUUUAAUUACCUUAGGGAUAACAGCGUUAUUAAUUUGAAGAGUUCAAAUCGAUAAAUUAGUUUGCGACCUCGAUGUUGGAUUAAGAAAAAAUUUUGAAGCAUCAUUUAAAAUUUUAGGUCUGUUCGACCUUUAAAUUCUUACG